UGGGAAGUCUUGCGCAAUGGUCGAAAGCCUGACGCAGCGACGCCGCGUGUGGGAGGAAGCCUUUCGGGGUGUAAACCACUGUUGCCCGGAGCGAACAGUUGCUUUCGAGCGACCUGACGGUACCGGGUGAGGAAGCACCGGCUAACUCUGUGCCAGCAGCCGCGGUAAUACAGAGGGUGCGAGCGUUGUCCGGAAUCACUGGGCGUAAAGGGCGCGUAGGUGGCGGGUGAAGCGUGCGGUGAAAGCUCGGGGCUCAAG
RNAcentral lists this ribosomal RNA (258 nucleotides) under uncultured bacterium. RNAcentral describes it as "partial 16S ribosomal RNA". It matches the Rfam family "Bacterial small subunit ribosomal RNA", at positions 355 to 613 of the family's 1533-position model. The record is from RNAcentral.